AGUGAACGCUGGCGGCGUGCCUAAUACAUGCAAGUCGAACGGAGUGGCGCACGGGUGCGUAAUGUAUAGCUAAUCUGCCCUACACUCGUGGACAACCGUUGGAAACGACUGCCAAUACUCUCUAGUGUAGGAUGAGGCUAUAUUGUAUCAGCUAGUUGGUAAGGUAAUGGCUCACCAAUGCUAUGAAGCAUAACUGGUCUGAGAGGAUGGUCAGUGACAAGGAAACUAAGACACGGAUCAGACUACUACGGUAGGCAGCAGAAGGGAAUAUUGCUAAAUGGGGAAAACCCUGAGGAAGCAACGCGGCGUGGGUGAUGACACAUUUCGGAGCGUAAACUCCUUAUGUUAGGGAAGCGGUACCUAACGAAUAAGCACCGGCUAACUCCGUGCCAGCAGCCGCGGUAAUAC
This 408-nucleotide ribosomal RNA is filed under the name uncultured bacterium. Its description in RNAcentral is "partial 16S ribosomal RNA". It matches the Rfam family "Bacterial small subunit ribosomal RNA", at positions 29 to 526 of the family's 1533-position model. The record is from RNAcentral.